UACAGAGGGUGCAAGCGUUAAUCGGAAUCACUGGGCUUAAAGCGUUCGUAGGCGGGCUUGCAGGCGCGUUGUGAAAUCCCCCGGCUUAACCUGGGAACUGCGUCUGAUACUGGAAGGCUUGAGGAUGGGAGAGGGAUGUAGAAUUCCAGGUGUAGCGGUGAAAUGCGUAGAUAUCUGGAGGAAUACCGGUGGCGAAGGCGGCAUCCUGGACCAUUACUGACGCUGAGGCGCGAAAGCUAGGGGAGCAAACGGG
This 253-nucleotide ribosomal RNA is filed under the name uncultured bacterium. RNAcentral's name for it is "partial 16S ribosomal RNA". It matches the Rfam family "Bacterial small subunit ribosomal RNA", at positions 524 to 776 of the family's 1533-position model. The record is from RNAcentral.